RNAcentral lists this long non-coding RNA (473 nucleotides) under Actinidia chinensis (golden kiwifruit). Its description in RNAcentral is "long non-coding RNA (ACHI_LNC009413)". The record is from RNAcentral. Lineage: Eukaryota; Viridiplantae; Streptophyta; Magnoliopsida; Ericales; Actinidiaceae.
GGCAAGGAGACUUAAACCUAUAAAUAGAAUCACUUCAAAGAGGUUGGUUAUGCAAUUAUUCGCUCUCAAAACUUUGACAUUUGUAGCUCUCAUAGUUAAGUUCCCUUUUCCAUUCACUGACUCGAGUAUCGGUGUGUUUUUUGGGUCAACCCCAGCCUGAGGACUGUAACGAUGUCUUAUUCUGUUCGCAGACGAAAUGGAGUAUUCUGUUCGCUAGGUGAGAAGACGAAGUGAAGAAAACCAUACUAUUGGUGCCCGCAAGGCCAUUCCAUUUUAUAUAUUUUUCCAAUAUUUGGGACUAUUUCUCUUAAAUUAUUGCUCUUAUGGUUUUAAAUAGUGAGAAAAGACAAAGUGGAGUGACAGGAGGGUGAUGGUGAAAGAUGUGGCCUUUUUGUGUUAUCAUUGAUCUCUUUAUUGUAAGAAAGAGUUGUGUACGGUUUUAAAGCAAACUCUUUAUUCAUCAUAUUAGAUCC